UUUUAAUGUAGGGGUAUCUUAGUACUUUUAUAAAUAAUCAACACUUCUCUCUCUUCUAUUUCUCUCAUCUCUCUCUUAUACCAAACAACACAUCAGAUCUACUCUAUUUCUCACAUAUUUCUCUCUUCACAACUUCUCUUCCAAACCAAACACACCCAUAAUGAUGCAUGCUAUUGUUUUUUCAGCGACAAUUUUCAUGAUAUAACUUCCCCCAAACAUAUACACUUGAUUCUUCACAAUGCCACUCUUUAUGAAAACAACAUAUGUAACAGCAGUGCUUGUUAAGGUAGAGGAGCUGUGUUAGGCUGAGUUUUUGAGGCUGAGGCUGGGGUAUGCGGUUUUUGGUUUGGUUUGCUGUCAGUUUUUGCAUAAAACAGCAUCAGCUUCUGUUUUUAGCUAUAAUUUCUGCUUUCUGCUUCCUGUUUUCCUACCUGUGAUGUGUUCGGUUCUAGGAAUAGGAUGGGUGUAGGACUGUUUUGGGGUUUUUCUGGUAUGUCAGUGACCUUUGUAUCACUGGUUUUUCUGUCCACGAGUUAGCAGUGCUUCUUGUACGCUCUUGAUGUGAAUAAAUUUUGCAAUUUCUAAAAAACAUAUGUAAUAACUCUGACUCACUAGAACCUCUACUAUGAAUAGUUUAUGAUCUUGCGGAGGAGGAUACUUUCAAAUUCUCAUAAGAUCGCUUGACUUGCACCGAAAUCCAUCUAAGUGACAUGAAAAAGUACACAACGGUUUACUGAUAACUGGAGACAAUUCGUAACAAAUAGUCACAAAUGCAUUAAUUAGAAACUCACAGCGAAAUCAUAACUAACAACAAAACAUUUGAUUUGCCUCACUUAGCAAGGACUUCAGGUAAUUCACAUAUCCAUGUAUUCGAGAAUAAAAUUUAAUUGCAUAGUGAGGGAAAAAGUAAAGCACACAUCACCUUAAUAUCAUUUCUAAUUUUAUUUUAAGCUCACUUAGUUGUUUAAUCAUUUAGUUCAUUAAUUACUUUCAAUGGGAUUUGAUAAUUAGCUUUGCCCCGGACAAAAUAGGCAAUUAAACUGUCCCUGCUCGUCCUGCAAACACUAUGUCUAUGAUUUCAGAUCGAUAUCGCUCACCCCCUUACCUUGGCAUGCUUGACUGGCAAAAUCCUUGGUUCCUUUGACUGGCUCCUCCCACCACGGCUUUGUUUCUUCAUAACUACUAACAUGUCUAUAAAUCAUAAACAUUUGUCACUUUAAGUCUAAAACAUAAUUUAUAAUUAUAUGCUAGAAC
RNAcentral lists this long non-coding RNA (1254 nucleotides) under Medicago truncatula (barrel medic). RNAcentral's name for it is "lncRNA gene5948". Lineage: Eukaryota; Viridiplantae; Streptophyta; Magnoliopsida; Fabales; Fabaceae. The record is from RNAcentral.